Molecule: transfer RNA, 92 nt
Filed under: bacterium
Lineage: Bacteria
Description: tRNA-Pro
Rfam family: tRNA
About the family: Transfer RNA (tRNA) molecules are approximately 80 nucleotides in length. Their secondary structure includes four short double-helical elements and three loops (D, anti-codon, and T loops).
Source: RNAcentral
GGGGCCGUGGUCUAGCAUGGUUAUGAUACCCGGCUAGGGACCGGGAGAAAAAUAAUUUCCCGAAGUCGCGAGUUCAAAUCUCGCCGGCCCCA